This 372-nucleotide ribosomal RNA is filed under the name uncultured organism. RNAcentral describes it as "partial 16S ribosomal RNA". It matches the Rfam family "Bacterial small subunit ribosomal RNA", at positions 527 to 896 of the family's 1533-position model. The record is from RNAcentral.
GUAGGUGGCAAGCGUUGUCCGGAAUUAUUGGACGUAAAGCGCGCGCAGGCGGUUCUUUAAGUCUGAUGUGAAAGCCCACGGGCUCAACCGUGGAGGGUCAUUGGAAACUGGAGAACUUGAGUACAGAAGAGGAAAGCGGAAUUCCACGUGUAGCGGUGAAAUGCGUAGAGAUGUGGAGGAACACCAGUGGCGAAGGCGGCUUUCUGGUCUGUAACUGACGCUGAGGCGCGAAAGCGUGGGGAGCAAACAGGAUUAGAUACCCUGGUAGUCCACGCCGUAAACGAUGAGUGCUAAGCGUUAGGGGGUUUCCGCCCCUUAGUGCUGCAGCUAACGCAUUAAGCACUCCGCCUGGGGAGUACGGCCGCAAGGCUG